This 1861-nucleotide long non-coding RNA is filed under the name Equus asinus (donkey). RNAcentral describes it as "lncRNA (ENSEASG00005026571.1)". The record is from RNAcentral. Lineage: Eukaryota; Metazoa; Chordata; Mammalia; Perissodactyla; Equidae.
GGGAAGGGUAUAGUAGCUAAGGUGUAGGUUAAGCUGUUCUAACAAAGAGACCCCAAAGUACAGUGACCUAGAUAAAACCACGCUAACAUUUUGGGAAAAAACACUGGGAACUUCUGGUCCUGUUGCCUGUGUUAACUAGGCCAAGAGGCCCAUGGAUGGCAGCUCUGCAAAUAAGACACAAUUUCCCAUUGGAGCAAGGAGAAGAGUUGUGGAGGGAAGAGAGGGGAUUCCCACAAGGCCUGAGGCUGGGCAGGAGAAGUAACCUUUAAAACCAAUAAAUGGUACCUAUACCAGAUAUCUGCAGGAAGGAUCCAUCUAACUGCACAGUGAUGGUAAGUUUCUUGGGUUGAACACUGGUCCCCUACAUUAGAGGCCUGGGAAUGGGAUGAUUACUAGUAAAGCACAAUAACAGGACUAUAAUUUGAGUUGGGAGUAAGUGCCAUCCCAGCAGAAAGUUUUGCAUAAUUUUAAUUUAGGAAAGAUAUUGACCUGAGCUCAGAGCUAUAACCUGAGUUCUUAUAAAAGGACAAUUGUAUAAACAUGGCUCAAAUACCUAGUCUAUGAAGCACAAUGAAGUUACAAAAUUAACCAACAGUACAGUUGAGGUGUUAUAAAGAAGAAAUCUCUGGGCAGGUCCAGUGGCACAACAGUUAAGUUCACACGUUCGACUUAAGUGGCCCAGGCUUCACCAAUUUGGAUCCCGGGUGCAGACAUGGGACCACUUGGCAGGCCAUUCUAUGGCAGAUGUCCCACAUGUAAAGUAGAGGAAGAUGGACACAGAUGUUAGCUCAAGGCCAGUCUUCCUUAGCAAAAAGACGAUUGGCAGCAGAUGUUAGCUCAGGGCUAAUCUUCCUCAAAAAAAAAAAAAAAGCAAGAAAUCUCAAUGCAUGCAAGAGAGUAACACACCGUGCAUAUGUAACUCACAUGGGGAAGGUUUUUAACCAGGAACUAUGACUGACUGAUUAGCCUAGAAUUCAUACAUAGAGAAAAGAACAAAUGAGCGUCUGUGGGCAGUCUUUUAAGUGCCUCUUAUCUCCUCCAAUAAGCAGAAAUCUCACAUUGGGGAAGAACCCAUUGAAUAGAACUAGUGUGAGAUGUUUCACUCACAGGUUCACAGUGAUUUAACAUAUGUGAAGUCACGUGGGCCCAGGAGGCCCAACUCCAUAAGCUGUUGGACCAACUGAGGCAGCAAAGCCAUGAGGAAACACUGAAGUUUCACCUGGAAAAUACCCAAUAUAUUCUCCAAAACAUGAAAUACUGCUUCAACCCGGUUAUUGAGCACCCUCCACGCAGCCACUCGUAGCUGUACAGGACUGGUAGCAGGACCGAUGGCCAACUUUUGGAGUUUCCCAUGGGUAUCUGGAGCACUUCUGAGAUCUGAAAUAUGGAUUCAGGAUCACUGUACUGCCCCGGGCCUCCAGGUCCCAGUUUGUGUAUCGCCUGAGGCAGUCCUGCGGCCUCUGGAACAAAGUGUGUGUGUGUAGAGGGGGAGCCGGCUUUCCUCAGGGCCCUAUUGGACCUCUCUUAAUUUAGGCCACAUAAUGAGUGGCUGGCUUACUCUUUUCAUGGCUUUCAGAAGCGGACCCUGAAAAUAUCCCCCCUUUCCUCGAUCCUCAGGAUCAUUGGGAUUCCACCCUGCCUCGGUCUCUGGCACAGCCUGUCCACCAGGCCUGCAGAUGUCCAAUCCUGGGUCAUCUUCCUUCCCUGCUUGUUCUCUGGCUUCGAAUGGAACGGAUGAAUUUGCCUCAGGCAUGCUAACCUUCUCCUGCAGAAGCCCACAAUUCAUAUGGGAUGAGAAUUCAUAUGGAGAGAGGAUAAUAAUAUUGUUAAUAAAGUUAUUUUUAUUAUUAAUAGCUAACAA